AAUGGCCACAUAAGAAGUUGA
Molecule: non-coding RNA, 21 nt
Filed under: Arabidopsis thaliana (thale cress)
Lineage: Eukaryota; Viridiplantae; Streptophyta; Magnoliopsida; Brassicales; Brassicaceae
Source: RNAcentral